GCGAAUGAUUAUACCUUUUUAACCCCAAGCUGUUGUUCUGCAAUGGCUAUGAAGAUUAAAAAUAGCAACAACAACACUCUAAUUUUUUGCUGACG
This is a small nucleolar RNA of Talaromyces stipitatus ATCC 10500, 95 nucleotides long. It matches the Rfam family "A. fimigatus snoRNA Afu_298". Lineage: Eukaryota; Fungi; Ascomycota; Eurotiomycetes; Eurotiales; Trichocomaceae. The record is from Rfam.